GUGGGGAAUAUUGGACAAUGGGCGAAAGCCUGAUCCAGCAAUGCCGCGUGAGUGAAGAAGGCCUUAGGGUUGUAAAGCUCUUUUACCCGGGAAGAUAAUGACUGUACCGGGAGAAGAAGCCCCGGCUAACUUCGUGCCAGCAGCCGCGGUAAUACGAAGGGGGCUAGCGUUGUUCGGAUUUACUGGGCGUAAAGCGCACGUAGGCGGUUUGUUAAGUCAGGGGUGAAAUCCCGGAGCUCAACUCCGGAACUGCCUUUGAUACUGGCAAGCUAGAGUCCGGAAGAGGUAAGUGGAACUCCUAGUGUAGAGGUGGAAUUCGUAGAUAUUAGGAAGAACACCAGUGGCGAAGGCGGCUUACUGGUCCGGAACUGACGCUGAGGUGCGAAAGCGUGGGGAGCAAACAGGAUUAGAUACCCGAGUAGUCC
RNAcentral lists this ribosomal RNA (425 nucleotides) under uncultured bacterium. RNAcentral describes it as "partial 16S ribosomal RNA". It matches the Rfam family "Bacterial small subunit ribosomal RNA", at positions 354 to 796 of the family's 1533-position model. The record is from RNAcentral.